Molecule: ribosomal RNA, 253 nt
Filed under: uncultured bacterium
Lineage: Bacteria
Description: partial 16S ribosomal RNA
Rfam family: Bacterial small subunit ribosomal RNA
Source: RNAcentral
UACGAAGGGGGCUAGCGUUGUUCGGAUUUACUGGGCGUAAAGCGCACGUAGGCGGAUUUGUCAGUCAGGGGUGAAAUCCCGGGGCUCAACCUCGGAACUGCCUCUGAUACAGCAAAUCUCGAGUCCGGAAGAGGUGAGUGGAACUCCUAGUGUAGAGGUGAAAUUCGUAGAUAUUAGGAAGAACACCAGUGGCGAAGGCUGCUCACUGGUCCGGAACUGACGCUGAGGUGCGAAAGCGUGGGGAGCAAACAGG